GUCAGGAAGGCCGAGCGGUCUAAUGCACUGCGUUAAAGUUGCAGUCUCCUCUGGAGGCGUUGGCUCAAAUCCCACUUCUGACA
This 83-nucleotide transfer RNA is filed under the name Ameiurus melas (black bullhead). Its description in RNAcentral is "tRNA-Phe". It matches the Rfam family "tRNA". Rfam says of the family: Transfer RNA (tRNA) molecules are approximately 80 nucleotides in length. Their secondary structure includes four short double-helical elements and three loops (D, anti-codon, and T loops). Lineage: Eukaryota; Metazoa; Chordata; Actinopteri; Siluriformes; Ictaluridae. The record is from RNAcentral.